AACGUGCUCCGGGGUCGGUGAGAAUCCGAACCGGCGGUGAAAGUCCGCGAGCCGUGUCCUCCGCAAGGAAGAGACGGUUGAGCCGGUGAAAUUCCGGCACCGACGGUUAAAGUCCGGAUGGGAGGAUGCACGCG
This 134-nucleotide non-coding RNA is filed under the name Microterricola viridarii. RNAcentral's name for it is "FMN sequence". It matches the Rfam family "FMN riboswitch aptamer (RFN element)". From Rfam's summary of the family: The RFN element is a highly conserved domain that is found frequently in the 5'-untranslated regions of prokaryotic mRNAs that encode for flavin mononucleotide (FMN) biosynthesis and transport proteins. This element is a metabolite-dependent riboswitch that directly binds FMN in the absence of proteins. In Bacillus subtilis, the riboswitch most likely controls gene expression by causing premature transcription termination within the 5' untranslated region of the ribDEAHT operon and precluding access to the ribosome-binding site of ypaA mRNA. The record is from Rfam by way of RNAcentral. Lineage: Bacteria; Bacillati; Actinomycetota; Actinomycetes; Micrococcales; Microbacteriaceae.